Xylaria sp. CBS 124048 is the source of this 108-nucleotide non-coding RNA. NCBI's taxonomy places the organism in Eukaryota, Fungi, Ascomycota, Sordariomycetes, Xylariales, Xylariaceae. The record is from the annotation of a GenBank genome assembly.
GGCUUCGUGGCCCAAUGGCAAGGCGUCUGACUACGAUAGGGGGCAGUACAUGGCAGUACAUCCUCAGCGAUAAUCAGGAGAUUCUGGGUUCGACCCCCAGCGAGGUCA